CAGUCGCCACGGUAAUACGAAGGGUGCAAGCGUUACUCGGAAUUACUGGGCGUAAAGCGUGCGUAGGUGGUGGUUUAAGUCCGUUGUGAAAGCCCUGGGCUCAACCUGGGAAUUGCAGUGGAUACUGGGUCACUAGAGUGUGGUAGAGGAUAGUGGAAUUUCCGGUGUAGCAGUGAAAUGCGUAGAGAUCGGAAGGAACAUCUGUGGCGAAGGCGACUAUCUGGGCCAACACUGACACUGAGGCACGAAAGCGUGGGGAGCAAACAGGAUUAGAUACCCCAGUAGUCCCUGUCUCUUAUAC
RNAcentral lists this ribosomal RNA (301 nucleotides) under uncultured bacterium. Its description in RNAcentral is "partial 16S ribosomal RNA". It matches the Rfam family "Bacterial small subunit ribosomal RNA", at positions 509 to 807 of the family's 1533-position model. The record is from RNAcentral.